Molecule: non-coding RNA, 118 nt
Organism: Chelonia mydas (Green sea turtle)
Lineage: Eukaryota; Metazoa; Chordata; Testudines; Cheloniidae
Source: Rfam
GUCUGAAGGCUUCUUUUCAGAGCAUAUAAAUCUUUCACUUUUUACUAAAGAUUUCUGUGGAGAGGAACAUUUAUAAGUUUCUGUCCAAUUUUUCAAGGCUUUACUUUGGUGAGAAAAU